CGCCCGCGCGGCUUGCGUGGAGCCGGCGGAGGCCAGAGCCCGAGCGCCGCGAGGGGCGGGCGCGGAGGUGGGGCGGCAGAGCGCCCCGCGCCGCCGCCCUCGCCGCCGCCGCCGCCGACGAGGAGGAGCCGCCGCCGCCACCGCAGCCGCCGGGUCGACGCAGGUGCGGCCGCCGCGCCGCCGGCGCCCCCCGCGAGGAUGCGGCCGGUCUCUUAAGAUGAGGUGUUGGUUGCAGGUGUUAAUAGGAUAAGUGAAAAUAAGAAUACCCAUAUAUUAAGAUAAGAACUAAAAGAACCAAACAGGGAAGCACUCAUAUUUCAAGAUCUCUAAGAAGAGGUAGCAAUAUUUAAUAUGGAACAAAAAGCUGGUGAAUCAAAUAAUGAUCUUUUAUCAAGUAGUGGUGUCACAUCCAAUGGAGGUUCUUCAAGUCCAUUUUUUAUGUCAUCUAUUCGUGGUACAAUAAUUGAAAACACAUCUUCAGCUGGGACAUUGACACAAAUUCCUUUUUUCCCCAAAUAUGAAGUGGAACUUGAUUCUCCUAGAAAAGUCAUCCCAUACCCUGGAAAGGAACACAUUGAACGUGUUUUGGAAGAAUAUUCACAUCAAGUCAAAGAUCUGCAGAGAAGACUAAAUGAAAGCAAUGAAUUGCAUGAGAAACAAAAGUUUUACUUAAGGCAGUCAGUCAUUGAUUUGCAAACAAAACUUCAAGAGAUGCAAAUGGAGAGAGAUGCCAUGGCUGACAUCAGACGAAGGGAGAGUCAGUCCCAGGAGGAUUUAAGAAAUCAGCUUCAAAAUACAGUUCAUGAACUUGAAGCUGCCAAAUGCCUUAAGGAGGACAUGCUGAAAGAUAGCAACGCACAGAUAGAGCAGCUGAGAAAGAUGAUGCUUGGCCAUGAGGGAGUACUUCAAGAAAUCCGAUCAGUCCUAGCUGACUUUGAAGAAGCCGCGGGCAAGAAAAUAUACGAACACGAGAGCGUGUCUACUCUCCACUUCCGCAACAUGGGCUCGGCUAUUAGUAAAGUCCUGAGAGAAUUAGACACAGAGAUUUCUUACCUUAAAGGGAGGAUAUUUCCAGUAGAGGAUCAGCUUGAAGCACUGAAGUCUGAAUCACAGAAUAAAAUAGAAUUGCUUCUUCAACAACAUCAAGAUAGGAUUGAGCAGUUAAUAAGUGAACAUGAAAUCGAAAUAACAGGACUUACUGAGAAAGCUAGCAGUGCUCGAAGUCAAGCCAAUAGCAUCCAGAGUCAACUGGAAAUCAUUCAAGAACAAGCAAGAAACCAAAAUUCAAUGUAUAUGCGCCAACUCAGUGAUCUGGAAUCUACUGUUUCUCAGCUACGUUCUGAGUUAAGAGAAGCCAAAAGGAUGUAUGAAGACAAGAUAGAAGAGCUUGAAAAGCAGUUAGUCCUUGCCAACUCAGAGCUAACCGAGGCACGGACAGAACGUGACCAGUUCAGUCAGGAAUCUGGAAAUUUGGAUGAUCAGCUUCAAAAGCUGUUGGCUGAUCUACAUAAAAGAGAGAAGGAGCUGAGUCUGGAGAAGGAGCAGAAUAAGCGUCUGUGGGACCGGGACACGGGCAACAGCAUCACCAUUGACCACCUGCGGCGGGAGCUGGACGACAGGAACAUGGAGGUGCAGCGCCUGGAAGCCCUCCUCAAGGCCAUGAAGAGCGAGUGUCAGGGCCAGAUGGAACGGCAGAUGGCAGCAAUUCAGGGAAAGAAUGAAAGUCUAGAAAAAGUGUCCUCCUUGACUGCUCAGCUUGAAUCCACCAAAGAGAUGCUCCGCAAAGUGGUGGAAGAGUUGACCGCCAAGAAGAUGACCCUGGAGAGCUCAGAGAGGACUGUAUCGGACCUGACCGCUUCGCUCCAGGAAAAAGAGAGAGCCAUUGAGGCUACCAAUUCAGAGAUCACAAAGCUGCGCUCCCGGGUGGACUUGAAAUUGCAGGAGCUACAGCACUUGAAAACAGAGGGAGAUCACCUCAGAAACGUGCAGACCGAGUGUGAGGCCCUCAGGCUACAGAUGGCAGAGAAGGACAAGGUGAUCGAGAUUUUGCGACAGCAGAUUGAAAACAUGACACAGCUGGUUGGCCAGCAUGGACGAACUGCUGGCGCCAUGCAAGUAGAAAAGGCUCAGCUCGAGAAGGAGAUCAAUGAUAGGAGACUGGAGCUACAGGAAUUCAAGAUUUUAAAAGAUAAAAAAGAUGCAAAGAUACGGGAGCUUGAGGCCCGAGUGAGUGACCUGGAGCUGGAAAAGGUGAAGCUGGUUAAUGCAGGCUCUGAGAGGCUCCGUGCAGUGAAGGACAUCAAACAGGAGAGAGAUCAGUUAUUAAAUGAGGUGAAAACUAGUAGGAGUGAGUUAAACAGUCUUACAGAGGACUAUGAAGUCUUAAAAAGGAAUUUUCGAAACAAAACUGAAGAAAUGGAAGCUACUACAAAUAAACUGAAAAUGCAAUUAAAAUCUGCACAGUCUGAACUUGAACAAACAAGAAAUACAUUAAAGUCAAUGGAAGGAUCCGAUGGUCAUGCUAUGAAAGUGGCAAUGGGGAUGCAAAAGCAAAUCACAGCUAAAAGAGGUCAAAUAGAUGCUCUUCAGAGCAAGAUACAGUUUUUGGAAGAGGCAAUGACAAAUGCAAAUAAGGAAAAGCAUUUUCUAAAAGAAGAAAAGAAUAAAUUGAGCCAGGAACUGAGUACAGUUGCAACAGAAAAAAACAAGAUGGCUGGAGAGCUGGAGGUCCUGAGAUCCCAGGAACGCCGUUUGAAAGAAAAGGUUGCUAAUAUGGAAGUAGCUCUUGAUAAGGCAUCUUUGCAGUUUGCAGAAUGUCAAGAUAUCAUACAGCGUCAGGAACAAGAAUCUGUGCGCCUAAAACUUCAACACACUUUGGAUGUAAAAGAACUUCAGGGCCCUGGAUACACCUCAAAUACUUCUGUGAAACCUCGCGUUCUACAGCCAUCCUCAGCUGUGCGUUCUCAUUCUAACGUACCGUCAUCCCAGUCCACAGCCAGCUUCCUGUCUCAUCACUCUAUGAAACCUAACAUAUUGAAGGAAGAUCCAACAAGGGACUUGAAACAGCUUCUCCAAGAGUUGAGAAGUGUGAUCAACGAGGAACCAGCUGUGCCUCUGGGCAAGCCCGAAGAGGAAGGGAGAACACCAUCCGUGGGGGUCUCCUACGUGGCUGUAAGCAACAACUCAUUAAGGGAUUCCACUGAAGGUAGCAAAUCCAGUGAUACUCUCAGCAGAGAACCCGUCACAUUACACACAGGAGACUUGGAAGAUCCAUCUAGUUGCUUUACAUUCCCAUCCACAGCAAGUCCAUCUGUGAAAAAUUCAGCUUCUCGUUCAUUCCAUUCUUCUCCUAAGAAGUCUCCAGUUCACUCACUCCUAACUAGUUCAGUUGAAGAUUCAGUGGGUUCCACAUCACAAUAUAGAUCCACCAAACCUGUUCAUUCACCUGAUCCUGUUAAAGCCGGAGCCUUUCGCUGGAAGCGCAUUUCUACACCCGGCUGCUAAGGCCACAGCUGGCUAAUACCGCCUGGGAAUAACCAGUAAAAUGGCUCCCUCUGGCCCGCUGCUUGCCCCGCCUCCCUCAUCUCGGAAGGAGUGGCGACCACAUCCUUCCCCAGGGCUGGCACACCAACAACUUGGAGUCGUCCUCCGCUCUCUUUUCUUCCCCUCUCCCAGUAGGCAGAAAGUAGCAAACUGCCACUCUUUCUUCAAACUACGGUAUGAAGAAUUCUACUUCUCUGCUGUGACACCCUGGUCUGCCACCAGCAUCUCUCACUUGGAUUACUGCCGUCACCUCCGUCUGCGCUCCCUGCUUCCACCCUGGAGACCCUACAGGCUACUCGCCAAAGCAGCAGUCGGGAUCAUUGGUAAAACAUCCCCUGAGCCUCUGCCCAGGACCGUCCAAUUGCUCUGUAGCUCAUGACAAAAAGACCUUGUUAGUUUGCAGCUUCCUCAGGAGCUUCUCACGUGUGAUCUGAAGCCGGCGCUAGUGUGGUUUGGAGACCCAGGCAAACCACUCCAGAUUGAUUUCUCCCUCCUGUGUGUGGAAGGAUGAAGACAAAACAAUUAAAAGCAGCUUUGUUUGCAAGGCCAGGGGAUUAAAUAGGAUGGGACGGAAGAGUUAGGGAAGAGAGAGAAUAGGGAGACUUGUUUCCAAAGUCCGUGCAAGAAGGUGGUGGGGAGGGGAGAACAGGGGUGUCGCUCAGCAGAAUUUAAGAGGAUAGAGGACUAAAAAGAAAUGGGUGGAUUUGACCUAUACGAGGUCUUCGGUGACUUCAGUAUUUGUGAGGGUAUGCACUCUGUUUUGGAAGGCUGAGGUAUAAAUGGGGGGAAGGCUAUGAAGUCCAACUUUCAUAGGUUAGCCUUCUCUCAGGAAAUCUGGAGGCAAGGGGUAGGAGAGAAAUAGAAGUGUCCCUUAAGACCAGAACAAGGUCCAAAGGAAGUUCUCUCAGACCAAGAAAGACCUACCUGGGCAUGAUUGUAAGGAGGAAAGAGCCAGUGAAGACUGAAAAUUAAUAAAAGGAAACCUCCUUUAAAAUGGAGUCGGGAGGAGAGAAGCGGGAGCUCUCUCAGCCUACCACCUGUAGUCAGCUGGUGACGCAACAGGAAGAGAAGGACCCAGCGGUGAUUCUAUUUGAGCGCCUACGGCACUAGCCCAGCAGGAGGAAGAAAUGUUUCUCCUUCCGCGGCAAGAGUCCCGCCAAUGAGACUGUCACAACUCAGCCAAGGAAAAGCCAUUAUGCUUCCACUUCCCAGUUUCCUCCAAUGGACUUUUUGUUAUUAAUAGACCUCCCAGCUGCCCCCCUUUCCUCUAUGAAAGGGUGUUCCUCUUCUUUGUUCUUCAGACUAGCCUCUGGUUUUGCUGGCUUUGAUUGUUUCACAUUGCAAUUCUCUACUAUUCCGGAACAAACCCAUUUUGCUGGUAAAGUAACUGGCAGUGUUGGUUUUAAGGCUAAGACCACACCUGAAGAUGUGAGGACAAGCUUCACGGCAAUCCCAUAAGGGAAGAGGAAGGUGGCUCCGAAACACCAGGGGAAGGGUUGGCCUGCGAUGAAUGAAGGAGAGGAAACAGGCAUGCAAAGAGGAAAGAAUGAACAGAAGAAACAGUUGAGGUACAAAGGAGGCAGGGAGUGAGGACGUUAUCAGCUGAGUGAGAGAAAGGAGGUCCAGCUGAGGUUUGAAGGAAAGCAGAGGAAAUCGCCACUGAGAGAAGAGAUCACCUGUUGGGAGACCUGUCCUUCCUGGAUCAUGUUGAGUCUUCAGUCCUGGGCCUCUGCUGUGCUCCGAGCUUCCCUGACCUUCCAGGGCCCUCACCCCCACUCAGACCCCACCUAACUGUCCAGCCGACCAGACAACCACUUCCCAGUUCCUGUCUACACCUCCCUCCCCUCUGGCUGUGAUCCACUCUGCAACCACUCCAGACUUAAUCCUCCUACAGAGCAGCUCCCCACAGGGCAUCUCCUGGGUCUACCAGAUUAACUUCAACCCCACUGUAGCCUUCAAGGUCUCUAUGACACAGUCCCAAGGACCACUCCAGGCCAUUCUCUUACCAUUGAUCUGCACUCCAGCCAAACUGGGACUCUCCCGCUGGAACCUUCACUCAUUAGUCUAGAGAUUUCCUAGAAGCCACUUAACUUCCAUGAAACCUCACCCCAGUCCACAGUCCCAUUCCCCAGCCCCCAGCCCUCAAACUGAUAUGUUGGCAGACUUCGAAGAAAAGAAUUACAUAUUGUAACUGUCUUAGAAAUAAAAUAGGUUUUCUGUGUUGGUAUAAUUAUUUUCGUAGUUUAUCUCAUCCCCAUACUAGAUCAUACAUUCCUUGAGGGCCAGAGUUCAUUUAUUCUUUGUGUUCCCUGGAAUACAAAGUCUAUUAUCUAAGAGGCCUUUUAACUCUCCUUUUUUCAUUGAAUACCCCGUGUAUACUGGCACUAGGCUAAGUGCUUUAUAAGGAUGAUCUCAUGUAAUGCCCCGAGAGAUGUAAGCUACUCAAGGUCAAAAAGCUGCUGGGUGACUGAGCUGGGCUUUGAACCCAGUAUUUGACCUCCCAGGACCCAGGCUCUGAAACUCUAGCUAUGCUGAAUCCUCACGGCUGACUACUAAACCAUGUCCAAAUUUCAAAGCAUACAUUUUAGAGGUGAAGGUGCAAAUGUGGAUGUGUGACACCAGAGAAUGCCUCUGGGUGGUAUUCCAACAUUUACAAUGAAUUUCAGCCUUGUUCCUAAUUUAUAAUCACUCUCUCCGCAAGCCAUCGCCUCCUCAGGGAGCUGUACUCACCACCACCAGCACCUGUCUGCUGCUGUCAAGCCUCCGGCUUCUGCUCCUCCCCAGAACAUGAACCACAAGCCAAACCUUUCUGCAAAGCAGUCACAUGGGAGCUGCCCAGUUUCAGAUUUCACAGGGACAUUUUCUAACUGCAAAUGUUUGCAAACCUCUGACUCAUCUUAGUUCCAGAAUAGACUCAAUGCGGAGAUCUCUUCUGUGAAAUGAUGAAGCCUUUAGAGAAAAGGGAAAUCUGUGUUGGGAAAUCCAGCUCACUGUAUUGAAAGAAAGUUAGAUUACAACUUGGUGGACUCCUGAUGGAAUAAAGCACUACCUGUAAAUGGUAAAACUACUACAGAACUACAAAAACCACUAAUAGCUAAUUGAACAAAAUCCAGGAGACUAUCACUGUGAUAUUGCAUAAUAUAGGAGGCCAAAAUAUUUCUUGACCUUAUCAAUAUAAGGCUAAUCAUUGAAGGAUGCCAUAGACAAAGUUAGCAGACAGAUCCAGAUGGGGAGAUUUUUGUGUUAUUAAAACUGACAAGGGAAUAAUAUGUGGAUCUAUGGGGACGCCUGGGUGUCUCAGUGGGUUAAGCGUCUGCCUUCGGCUCAGGUCAUGAUCCCAGAGUCCUGGGAUCGAGUCCCACAUCGGGCUCCUUGCUCAGCAGGGAGCCUGCUUCUCCCUCUGCCUGCCGCUCCCCCUGCUUGUGCUCUCUCUCUCUCUCUGACAAAUAAAAAAAUUUUUUUAAAAAAGUGUGGAUCUAUAAUGAACUCCGACAGAUUGCCAAAAAUUGAAAACAAAAACAUAUGGGGCGCCUGGGUGGCUCAGUCGGUUGAGCAACUGCCUUCGGCUCAGGUCAUGAUCCUGGAGUCCCGGGAUCGAGUCCCGCAUCGGGCUCCCUACUCGGCAGGGAGUCUGCUUCUCCCUCUGACCCUCCCCCCUCUCAUGUGCUCUCUCUCUCAUUCUCUCUCUCUCAAAUAAAUAAAUAAAAAAUCUUAAAAAAAAAACCCAUAAACUCCAAUGUAAAAUGUAUAGGGGAUGCUUUUCCCUGGGGUCUAGAACAGUGCCUGGAACAUAAAAGGCAUGUACAGUAAUUUUUAGUUAAAUAAAUGAAUGGCUAGCAAAAAGGUGCAGGAAUACUGGUAAACAGAUAAAUGCAAAUUAAAACGAUGAUAUUAUACCAUUUUACAUCCAAAUAUUAGAAAGAAGAUGUGAUGUUGCCAAUGAGAGUAAACAGGUAGAAACAAUCUGGAGAAUAAUCUGGAAGAAUUUUGUGAAAUUUAAGUAUUCAUAUACCCCAUGACACAGUAAUCCCACUCCUGAACAUGUUCGGCCCAGGGAAAAUUUUGCACAAGACACACAGUGUUAUUUGGGGCAACAGUAAGUUUAAGGUCACCUAGCUGCCCAUCAUGGGGAAAUAGCUAAGUAAAACAUGGUGGAUGCCUAUGAAAUACUACGCAGUAGGGCACCUGGGUGGCUCAGAUGGUUGAGCGUCUGCCUUCGGCUCAGGUCAUGAUCCCAGGGUCCUGGGAUCGAGUCCCACAUCGGGCUCCCUGCUCCUUGGGAGCCUGCUCCUCCCUCUGCCUCUCUCUCUCUCUCUGUCAUGAAUAAAUAAAUAAAAUCUUUAAAAAAAAAAAAAAAGAAAUACUACGCAGUAGACAGACCAAUGAACUAGAGCUACACAUUGCAACAUAAUUAAGUCUUAAAUACAUGAGGGUGACAAAAGGUAAGAAACAAUAAGAUUUCUAGCACAAUAACAUUUAUGUAAGUUGAAAAUACUCAACACUACAGAGUUUCAAAAACACAUGCAUAUUUAAGGUCAAGUAUUUAAACAGAUUAAAGAGAGUAACUGGUGGGCAGGAGGAGGGUUGGGGUAGCCAAUUCUCUUCAUUCUUCACCCCUAACAUCUUUCCUAGCCUUGAAUCUUGCCAUCAGUAAUGUGCUAGAGACAGUCUGUACCAGAUCACAAAAGUCAAUUGAGAAAUUUUCAGGAAUUUCGUGAGCUGGUUGGUAAACACAGUCAUUAUUAAAACUUAAAUAUCCUUAUAAAUAAAUUACAUUAACAACAAAGGUAAUAAAAACUCAAAAACUUAUCACGCUGUAGUUAUUAACAACAUUUUAUUAGUAUCUAUGGUCUUGAAGUUACUUACAUCUCCUAUCUGGGCGUUGGAAAUAAUAUAUAAUGGUACGCUACCUGCGCUUCUCUUUGGAGUUUGAAGCCAGAUUUAGAUGUGCUGUUUCAGCUCAUUUCUUCGGUCAGCUCAGAGGUAACAGCUUUGAGGGCAGCUUGAAGCAAGAGAAGGCUUGUAGCCGGUCCAGGAAGCUCUGCCCUCUGAUCCAGUGAAUCCAGUGUACUUGAAACGCUUGUGGCAGAUAGGGCUGCCGCAUGGCGCUUUGGCACGUCCAGGAAGGCAAAGCGGAGCACAGGCCCCCAGGGGUUUGCAGCCCAGCCGUGAACUCUGUGGCAUAUAACUGUUCUCCUUUUGAGAGGCCAAUCUUGGUUUGUUGCUUGGCACCAAUAAAUACAGCAGCCUGUUCAUGAGCCAUUAGGUAACCAAGCGACUGAUGCCCAUUAUAAACUCGGGGUCAUCUGAUCCACCAAGACAUCAAGUCAGCUAACAUUUAGUGUGUCUGUACUGUGUGCCAGGCACUGUUCCAUGCACUUUACUUGUAACAUUUCCUUUCAUCUUCACAAUUCUGGGAGGCAGUUCUGUUAUUAUUGCUAUUAUCCCUGCUUCAGCUGAGAAAACUGAUACAGAGAGAGGAGAAGUGAUUUGCCACCUAGUCAUAUAGCUCAUAAGUAGCAGAGCUUGGUUUGCACCCAGACCCUCUGGACCCAAAGUCCACAUGUUUAAUUACCAACUUAUAUGGCUUCUCACGAUCAAGUGGAAGUUCUCUGUGUAGGACUGCGCUUGAGCAGAAAUGGAAGACACGACAGAUUGCAUGCAUGGCGUGCUCAGUCCUACCAUACUGCUGCUCUUCCUCUGCCUACACAUCUGACCCAGGGAUGCUCGCGAAGCCCAGGGGACUGAACAAACAACCUGCCCAAGACGAUGGCAGUGCCACAACGCUCUAGUCCAACUCAAGGCUGGCCCUGAAGAACAACUGAGGAGAAUUUUCCAGUAGGCAGAAUUUUUAGCAUUUCAUCCCGUUGACCACUUUGUCUGAAAGGAGACAUGGCCUGGGGUGCAUAUAUCGCCUGUACUGGACAGAAACUGAUGGUGUAGCUGGGUAGCCGGACUGGGAAGGUCAUGAAUGCAAGGCUGAUGGUAACAAAGAUGUCUGGGGAAGAGGCGUUCAGGGGAUCUCUCAGAACGGAUCCUCUAGAGUAUGAGGAUAUUUGGUUCUUCAUGAACACCUGCUGAAGGUCUCCGCUGUAAAGGAAGCGCUCAGUAAUCACGUAAAAAGGCUAACCUAGCCUUAGCAUGUCAGCCUACGUCUUUCCCCAGGCACUCCAACGGUGCCUGGUGAUCUCGUGAACAAAGUGGGCAUGUGCGAUGCGUUGAAAAUACCAAGGAAUUCUGAGAAAAGUGGCUUUACUGGAAUAGCUACUUUUUCUGGAUUUGGAUUUGUGUUCCUGUUGAACAAACCUCUGCCCACACCAACAUUCAUAGAUUUACUGAAUGCUUAUUCACCACCAUGGUAUUCCACCCCACAUUGGCUCUCACUAAGUAACUAAUUUUACAGGAAUGGGCUGACACUAUGGGGUUCAUGCUUCUGUCAUGUACUCCAUCACCGUAAAGUGACCUCACAGAGGGCAUGGCAAAGACUCGUUCACAGCACAAUUGCUAUGUAGUCAGUCCAGCAGAUUACUGAGAUGAAAUUGUGACAGACCCAGAGGAUGAAAGGUCAUCACCCAGAGAUUUUGUAUUUGAAGACGAUGCAGUCACUCACAAAACUUUGGGACUCAGUAUUCUUUUAAUAAAUUCCCUUUUUGAUUAAA
Molecule: RNA transcript, 10202 nt
Organism: Mirounga angustirostris (Northern elephant seal)
Lineage: Eukaryota; Metazoa; Chordata; Mammalia; Carnivora; Phocidae
Gene: CCDC158
Gene name: coiled-coil domain containing 158
Exons: 25
Source: RefSeq, a predicted model, not a curated record